Molecule: non-coding RNA, 142 nt
Organism: Drosophila virilis
Lineage: Eukaryota; Metazoa; Arthropoda; Insecta; Diptera; Drosophilidae
Source: RefSeq, a predicted model, not a curated record
CUCAAUUGCUGAUUACUGACAAAUUAAGGACUACAAUGAGCUCUAAGGACCUCCACGACUGACAAAGCAAAUUUUUCCAGGAUCGGACUUUAAUUAAGCCAGAUAUAGUUAUUUUAAGUUUCAAUAAGCUAUGAUUAUGAUU